GAUGAACGCUGGCGGCGUGCCUAAUACAUGCAAGUCGAGCGAACAGACGAGGAGCUUGCUCCUCUGACGGUAGCGGCGAACGGGUGAGUAACAAGUGGAUAACCUACCUAUAAGACUGGGAUAACUUCGGGAAACCGGAGCUAAUACCGGAUAAUAUAUUGAACCGCAUGGUUCAAUAGUGAAAGACGGUUUUGCUGUCACUUAUAGAUGGAUCCGCGCCGCAUUAGCUAGUUGGUAAGGUAGCGGCUUACCAAGGCAACGAUGCGUAGCCGACCUGAGCGUGUGAGCGGCCACACUGGAACUGAGACACGGUCCAGACUCCUACGCGAGGCAGCAGUAGGGAAUCUUCCGCAAUGGGCGAAAGCCUAACGCAGCAACGCCGCGUGAGUGAUGAAGGUCUCCGGAUCGGAAAACUCUGUUAUUAGCGAAGACCAAAUGUGUAAGUAACUAGGCACGUCUUGACGGUAGCUAAUCAGAAAGCCCCGGCUAACUACGUG
RNAcentral lists this ribosomal RNA (497 nucleotides) under uncultured bacterium. RNAcentral's name for it is "partial 16S ribosomal RNA". It matches the Rfam family "Bacterial small subunit ribosomal RNA", at positions 28 to 507 of the family's 1533-position model. The record is from RNAcentral.